GACGAACGCUGGCGGCGUGCUUAACACAUGCAAGUCGAACGGAAAGGCCCUGCUUUUGUGGGGUGCUCGAGUGGCGAACGGGUGAGUAACACGUGAGUAACCUGCCCUUGACUUUGGGAUAACUUCAGGAAACUGGGGCUUAUACCGGAUAGGAGCUCCUGCUGCAUGGUGGGGGUUGGAAAGUUUCGGCGGUUGGGGAUGGACUCGCGGCUUAUCCGCUUGUUGGUGGGGUAGUGGCUUACCAAGGCUUUGACGGGUAGCCGGCCUGAGAGGGUGACCGGCCACAUGGGUACUGAGAUACGGCCCAGACUCCUACGGGAGGCAGCAGUGGGGAAUAUUGCACAAUGGGCGGAAGCCUGAUGCAGCAACGCCGCGUGCGGGAUGACGGCCUUCGGGUUGUAAACCGCUUUCGCCUGUGACGAAGCGUGAGUGACGGUAAUGGGUAAAGAAGCACCGGCUAACUACGUG
Molecule: ribosomal RNA, 468 nt
Filed under: uncultured bacterium
Lineage: Bacteria
Description: partial 16S ribosomal RNA
Rfam family: Bacterial small subunit ribosomal RNA
Source: RNAcentral